RNAcentral lists this ribosomal RNA (493 nucleotides) under uncultured bacterium. RNAcentral describes it as "bacterial SSU rRNA". It matches the Rfam family "Bacterial small subunit ribosomal RNA", at positions 28 to 518 of the family's 1533-position model. The record is from RNAcentral.
GAUGAACGCUAGCGGCAGGCCUAAUACAUGCAAGUCGAACGGUAAAUAUUCAGCAAUGGAUAUGAGAGUGACGUACGGGUGCGUAACACGUAUGCAACCUACCCUUUACAGGAGUAUAGCUCGGGGGAAACUCGGAUUAACCCUCCAUAAUAUAAUUGGAUGGCAUCAUUUGAUUAUUAAAUCGCAAGAGGUAAAGGAUGGGCAUGCGUAUGAUUAGUUAGUUGGCGGGGUAAUGGCCCACCAAGACGAUGAUCAUUAGGGGAACUGAGAGGUUGAUCCCCCACACUGGCACUGAGAUACGGGCCAGACUCCUACGGGAGGCAGCAGUAGGGAAUAUUGGUCAAUGGAUGGAAGUCUGAACCAGCCAUGCCGCGUGCAGGAAGAAGGCCUUCUGGGUUGUAAACUGCUUUUGCCAGGGGCUAAAAAGCCCAUGCGUGGGAAAUUGAAAGUACCUGGUGAAUAAGCCACGGCUAACUACGUGCCAGCAGCCGAC